RNAcentral lists this ribosomal RNA (799 nucleotides) under Hoferellus carassii. RNAcentral describes it as "eukaryotic LSU rRNA". The stretch from base 1 to 215 matches the Rfam family "Eukaryotic small subunit ribosomal RNA", at positions 1621 to 1831 of the family's 1831-position model. Lineage: Eukaryota; Metazoa; Cnidaria; Myxozoa; Bivalvulida; Myxobilatidae. The record is from RNAcentral.
GUGUACUUCAUAAAAGUACGCCAAUUAAGUCCCUGCCCUUUGUACACACCGCCCGUCGCUACUACCGAGUGAAUCGUGUCAUGAUGCUUUGUAACUAGACAUUAUAUGAGCUUAAUUGCUUAUAAUGAUGCUGGGAUCAAUGUAAAAUGGCGCAAUUUCGAGGAAGUAAAAGUCGUAACAAGGUUUCCGUAGGUGAACCUGCGGAAGGAUCAUUGUUGUGAUAUAUAUAUAAUGUGAGUAAUAAAAAAAAAUAGUGAAUGAUGCUAUUAUUAGAUAUAUAUAAUUCUAAUGAUAGCAUAAAGAGUGAAAAAAAAAAUAUAUAUAAAAGAUAUAUAAAAUAAAAUAAAUAAUGUGAGUAAAAUAUAUAAUAAAAUAACCAUUAACGGUGGAUCACUCGGCUCUGAGUUCGAUGAAGAACGCAGCUAAAUGCGAUAAUUGAUGCGAAUCGCAAGCUUAGUGAGUCAUCGAAAUUUUGAAUGCAAAUGGCGCUUUUGAUUAAUUUCAAAGGCAUGUCUAGUUGAGGGUUAAAAAUAAUAUAAAAAUAUAAUAUUAUUAUAGAAAUUUUAUAAUAAAAAUUAUAGUAAUUGGUUGUGAUAAAAUAUGAAUCUCAACUUAAAAGAAUAUAUAGUAAAAGUAUUAUUACUUAUAUAUAAUAUGCAAAAUGCAAAAUUAUAUACAUGUAUAUAAUAUACUAUAAAUAUAUUUAACCUCAACUUAGGCAAGAUUACGCCGUGAACUAAAGCAUUUCAGUAACGGCAGGAAUAGAAAAUAACAAUGAUUCUCAUAGUAACUGCGAGUG